AGCGGCGGAUGGGUGAGUAACACGUGGGGAACCUGCCCCUAAGUCUGGGAUACCAUUUGGAAACAGGUGCUAAUACCGGAUAAUAAAGCAGAUCGCAUGAUCAGCUUUUGAAAGGCGGCGUAAGCUGUCGCUAAGGGAUGGCCCCGCGGUGCAUUAGCUAGUUGGUAAGGUAACGGCUUACCAAGGCGACGAUGCAUAGCCGAGUUGAGAGACUGAUCGGCCACAUUGGGACUGAGACACGGCCCAAACUCCUACGGGAGGCAGCAGUAGGGAACCUUCCACAAUGGACGCAAGUCUGAUGGAGCAACGCCGCGUGAGUGAAGAAGGUUUUCGGAUCGUAAAGCUCUGUUGUUGGUGAAGAAGGAUAGAGGUAGUAACUGGCCUUUAUUUGACGGUAAUCAACCAGAAAGUCACGGCUAACUACGUGCCAGCAGCCGCGGUAAUACGUAGGUGGCAAGCGUUGUCCGGAUUUAUUGGGCGUAAAGCGAGCGCAGGCGGAAAAAUAAGUCUAAUGUGAAAGCCCUCGGCUUAACCGAGGAACUGCAUCGGAAACUGUUUUUCUUGAGUGCAGAAGAGGAGAGUGGAACUCCAUGUGUAGCGGUGGAAUGCGUAGAUAUAUGGAAGAACACCAGUGGCGAAGGCGGCUCUCUGGUCUGCAACUGACGCUGAGGCUCGAAAGCAUGGGUAGCGAACAGGAUUAGAUACCCUGGUAGUCCAUGCCGUAAACGAUGAGUGCUAAGUGU
This 743-nucleotide ribosomal RNA is filed under the name uncultured bacterium. RNAcentral's name for it is "bacterial SSU rRNA". It matches the Rfam family "Bacterial small subunit ribosomal RNA", at positions 94 to 823 of the family's 1533-position model. The record is from RNAcentral.